ACGAACGCUGGCGGCGUGCUUAACACAUGCAAGUCGAACGGUGAAGCGCCUUCCUUUUUGGUGGGUGUGGAUGAGUGGCGAACGGGUGAGUAACACGUGAGUAACCUGCCCCCUUCUUCUGGAUAACCGCAUGAAAGUGUGGCUAAUACGGGAUAUUCUGGGUCUGUCGCAUGAUGGGUCUGGGAAAGAUAUUGUUUCGGUGGGGGAUGGGCUCGCGGCCUAUCAGCUUGUUGGUGGGGUGAUGGCCUACCAAGGCGGUGGCGGGUAGCCGGCCUGAGAGGGUUGACGGUCACACUGGGACUGAGACACGGCCCAGACUCCUACGGGAGGCAGCAGUGGGGAAUAUUGCACAAUGGGCGCAAGCCUGAUGCAGCGACGCCGCGUGAGGGAUGGAGGCCUUCGGGUUGUGAACCUCUUUCGCCAGUGAAGCAGGCCUGCCUCGUUUGUGGGUGGGUUGACGGUAGCUGGAUAAGAAGCGCCGGCUAACUACGUG
RNAcentral lists this ribosomal RNA (493 nucleotides) under uncultured bacterium. RNAcentral describes it as "partial 16S ribosomal RNA". It matches the Rfam family "Bacterial small subunit ribosomal RNA", at positions 29 to 507 of the family's 1533-position model. The record is from RNAcentral.